GGUCUACUGAUUGUCAUCUAUUCACCUAUGUGACACUCCUCUUGUUUUAUAUACAUUGAUACCAGACUCUUUCCAGCACUCUCACAUAUAACGUGAUCAAACAUGUUCACAUUUCUCUUCACUGUUACUGUCUCACUGCUCUGUGCUGCAGGUCUUGUUGAGGGGAGUGAAGUCACUCAGACACCCACCAUACUCUGGGAACUGAAAGACAGUGAUGCUCAGAUUAACUGCAGUCACACUAAGGGAGCUACCUACAACCAGAUGUACUGGUACAGACAGCUUCCAGGAGAGGGAAUGAAGCAGGUAGUUUACACAAGUAGUUACAGCGAUCCAGAAUAUGGAGACUUCA
Molecule: non-coding RNA, 349 nt
Organism: Oncorhynchus mykiss (rainbow trout)
Lineage: Eukaryota; Metazoa; Chordata; Actinopteri; Salmoniformes; Salmonidae
Source: RefSeq, a predicted model, not a curated record